This is a long non-coding RNA of Neofelis nebulosa (Clouded leopard), 786 nucleotides long. RefSeq lists it as uncharacterized. The record is from RefSeq and is a predicted model, not a curated record. Lineage: Eukaryota; Metazoa; Chordata; Mammalia; Carnivora; Felidae. The transcript is spliced from 5 exons.
UGCGUGCGUGUGCACGUAGUCGUUGAUGGAGGCAGGAAGCGAGAAGGAAGCGGGAAGGUGGAAGAGAUCGGAAGAGUUUCAAACAAGGCCCGAUUCUCCUUAGGUCAGCUCGAUUUGCUCUCUAAUCCUGGGCGACGCAGGGUUCAAGGAUCUUCUGAAUCUCAUCGCAUUGUAGGAACUCCUGCUGUACUCAGAGAAUGUUGUUCAGAAGGGGAGACAGGCAAUAAAUAUAAGAUGAAGUUAUGAGGAGAGAAGCUAUUCAUAGCUAAAACUCUAGCUAAAAUGGCUAUUAUUUAUUGCACGGAACUGAAAUCGGAUGAAGUCGAGAAACCCAACGUACAAACCCAGAAGCUGAGAUACUACACAAGCGGACGUAUUUCAAGGACAAAUCCAAAGAAUCAAACUUGGUCUGUGACUAGAAUGUACACCAUCGUCUCUCCUGAGUCUCCAGCUUGCUGACUGCAGAUCUUGGGACUUGCCAGCCUUGAUAAUCACACCUUUGUACCAGCCAGACACUUUCCCUGGUACACUCUUCCCAGGGCUCUUUCCUCAGCAACGAGAUGUCAGCUGAAAUGCUAGCUCCUCAGAGAGACUUUCACCAGCCACCUUCUUAAAGUGAGUUUCCCUGCUCUACUUCAUCCUACUCUGUGCCGUAAUCCUUUAAUUAGAACUAUUUGAAAUUAUCUGGCCUAUUUAUUUAUUUGCUCUCUUACUAUCUCCCCCCUCAGAAUGAGAGGAGACACCUUAUCUACUUUUUAUACCCUGGAUCCCAAGUAUCUAGAAGCA